AUUGAACGCUGGCGGCAUGCCUUACACAUGCAAGUCGAACGGCAGCGCGGGAGCAAUCCUGGCGGCGAGUGGCGAACGGGUGAGUAAUAUAUCGGAACGUGCCCUGGAGUGGGGGAUAACGCAGCGAAAGUUGCGCUAAUACCGCAUACGAUCUACGGAUGAAAGUGGGGGAUCGCAAGACCUCAUGCUCGUGGAGCGGCCGAUAUCUGAUUAGCUAGUUGGUGGGGUAAAAGCCUACCAAGGCGACGAUCAGUAGCUGGUCUGAGAGGACGACCAGCCACACUGGGACUGAGACACGGCCCAGACUCCUACGGGUGGCAG
This 321-nucleotide ribosomal RNA is filed under the name uncultured Pseudomonadota bacterium. RNAcentral's name for it is "bacterial SSU rRNA". It matches the Rfam family "Bacterial small subunit ribosomal RNA", at positions 30 to 351 of the family's 1533-position model. The record is from RNAcentral. Lineage: Bacteria; Pseudomonadati; Pseudomonadota.